CCAUAAUUAAUCCAAUUAAACCCUCAUCCUCGCUUGCUUUCUCUCUCAAAGUUCAAUCCAUAAAUUCACCGGACUCUCCAUCAAUUUCACAGUUUCAUUCGCAUUUCAAGCUUCGAUUUCUUCAGGUGUACCGGGUCCGUUGUCACUGUUCUUGAAUGUCGUAGUCGCCAAGUGCUUUGUUCAAUCUGCACUGAAUUGCUGCUCUUCUGAGCUUACAGAGAGAGAAAGCAUCAAAGCAGUAAUGUCACCAGCUAUGGCGGUGUCCUACACCUCACCCUUCCUCCACCCCCUUUUUUAUAAACAACAUAUGUUUUGGAGCCAUCUGUUAAGGAAUUCAUUGUAUAGCAAGGGUAUUUCACAUCAUUCAAGUGGGCGCCAACCUUUCUUCCAACCAAAUGCUUUAAAUGGAAAAGGCAGCUUUACAACUUAUAAAACAGGCUUUGUGGUUCAGAAUACGAGGCGAAGUUUCUCAUGCUCUAUAAGCAUGUCAGAUGGACAGUCCUCCGGAAAUCAUGGGAAAUUAAACUUGGACCAGAUAAUGGACAAGGCUAGGGAAGUUUGGAAUGCCCUUCCGGAACCAAUCAAGAUCUUCCCUUGGAACAGAGUGCGAGAUAACUUCAUCCAACGCACUCUUGAUGUUGCAAUUGCUGUCAUCAAAUACCUAAGCGCUCCUUUGCUGUUUGUUUCCUCCCUCAGUGAGAUGUCCUACUGUGCUCAUGAAAGGAAACUAUUUCUUGUUCCUGUUCCAUUGAUUCUUGGGUUUUCAGUUGCUGGGAUCUUGAAAGAGACAGUGCAAGAACUAUCUCCUCUUACCAAGGAUGCUGACGUUCCUUGGCAUAUAAUUGGGAUUGCUACUUUCCUCAUUCUUCUUAAGCUGCCUGGUCCAUACUACCCAUAUUGGGGCCGCCUGUUUAUUCCUCAUUUUGCUAAUGGAGGGCUUUUAAGGGUUUUCGUUAUGAUGUAUUUCUGGUAUCAGAGGCCUAGCAAGAGUCGAUCAUUGCAAAAUGUGGAGAGCCCUGAGCAAAAUUGAAUUUAUUAAAUGAUAGCACCAUGGGAGGAGGCGCCUGGUCUGCGUGGAGAUGCAGCAGGGGGUGGGGGACUGGGGGGAGGAGCUGACAUUGAGACAGAGGCGAGGGGUGGUGUUAUUUUUUAAAAGGGCAUGUACUCGUAUAUGGCAUCAACCUAGACUUCAACAAUGUCAAAACUGUCAUCAUCUCAUCAUUAUCCAGCUUUUAAAGUGGAAAACCUUGUGACAGAACAAACUUCUGUAGAACUGUCGGGACUUUGAACGAACUGCAAUGCAAUUGCCAGACUGUUAUGAAGUCAUGAACAUACUGCUUUAAAAUAUAGCGUGACAGACAGUUGAUCCUUCCUCCAACUCUCAUCCAGGCUUCCUUUGUUAGCUUCUGUUUUUGUGUUUACUUAAGAUUAGUGGUUUGCUUUUUUGUUCAUGAAAUACAAGAAUAUGAUAUGUUAGGCAUCCAAGGUUACAACUUACAAGUGUUGCUACAGCUGAGCCCUUCGGGGGAAUUUUUUCUUGAAAUUCAGUUCAAUUCUUCUUUUUA
RNA transcript from Spinacia oleracea (spinach), 1565 nucleotides. RefSeq lists it as uncharacterized. The record is from RefSeq and is a predicted model, not a curated record. The transcript has 7 exons. Lineage: Eukaryota; Viridiplantae; Streptophyta; Magnoliopsida; Caryophyllales; Amaranthaceae.